AAAUGCUUAAAUGAUCAAAUAAUACGACUUUGUUUCAUUAAAAAUUACAAAUGUUCAUAAACAUAUUACAAACUGUAAUCUUAAACAUAGUAAAACACUUAUGCUUAAUCCGCAAAUGGAAUGAAAUAAAUAAAUAUUAUAAUCUAUUAGUAAAAUUAGAAAAUAGUCUAAGAUUACUAUACUACAAAUAUUUGAAAGUAGCAAAUAGAAUAGACUGUUUCAAAAAAAAAAAAAACUAGAAUAGACCUAAAAUCUCAUGAGCUAUUAUCCCUUCCAUUGCGAAAAUACGCACCACCUUCACCACUGGUACCUCCAAACUUGUUUCCUCCAUUCAGAUGCACAAUCUUUCACAAUGUCAAGUUGGAUCGCUUGAAAGAUGUGCAAAUACAUGCAUGAUUAUAAAAUAUGGAAUGUUAUACGCAAGGAAAAUAGAAUAGAAAUAUAUAAUUUAUGUGAAAUGUCUUUUUGCUUAGCUUUAUUUACCUUUUCUCCUCAAAUGGAAGAAAUAAUGGCGGCGGAACAUCAGGUGUUUAAGUGGAAGAAACGGGUUGCGAAGAGUAAAAUAAUUAAUGGUGUGCGGUGAUGGUUUGAUUAUACAGACGAAGGUGAUCGUGGCGUAAUGAUCAGAGGUGAAAUUUAUAGAAUAAUGAAGGAGAAGAACCGAUGUCUUUGUGGCUUCACCUUUUCAUCACCUAAUGAUAUAUAAACAUGCGAAGAAUAAUAA
RNAcentral lists this long non-coding RNA (724 nucleotides) under Brassica napus (rape). RNAcentral describes it as "long non-coding RNA (BNAP_LNC013737)". Lineage: Eukaryota; Viridiplantae; Streptophyta; Magnoliopsida; Brassicales; Brassicaceae. The record is from RNAcentral.